UGCCUCAGUAACGGCGAGUGAAGCGGCAACAGCUCAAAUUUGAAAUCUGGCCGUCUUCGCGGUCCGAGUUGUAAUUUGUAGAGGAUGCUUCAGGUGCGGCGCCGGUCUAAGUUCCUUGGAACAGGACGUCAUGGAGGGUGAGAAUCCCGUCUGUGACCGGUGGCCCAGCCCGUGUGAAGCUCCUUCGACGAGUCGAGUUGUUUGGGAAUGCAGCUCUAAAUGGGUGGUAAAUUUCAUCUAAAGCUAAAUACCGGCCAGAGACCGAUAGCGCACAAGUAGAGUGAUCGAAAGAUGAAAAGCACUUUGGAAAGAGAGUUAAAAAGUACGUGAAAUUGUUGAAAGGGAAGCGCUUGCAACCAGACUUGCCCGUGAGCGAUCAGCCGUCCUUCUGGGCGGUGCACUCGCCCGCGGUCAGGCCAGCAUCGGUUCAGGCGGCCGGAUAAAGGCCCCGGGAACGUAGCUCCCCUCGGGGAGUGUUAUAGCCCGGGGUGCAAUGCGGCCCGCCGGGACCGAGGACCGCGCUUCGGCUAGGAUGCUGGCGUAAUGGUUGUCAGCGACCCGUCUUGAAACACGGACCAAGGAGUCUAACAUCUAUGCGAGUGUUUGGGUGUCAAACCCAUGCGCGCAAUGAAAGUGAACGGAGGUGGGAACCCUCAAGGGCGCACCAUCGACCGAUCCUGAUGUCGUCGGAUGGAUUUGAGUACGAGCAUAGCUGUUGGGACCCGAAAGAUGGUGAACUAUGCCUGAAUAGGGUGAAGCCAGAGG
RNAcentral lists this ribosomal RNA (765 nucleotides) under Umbilicaria polyphylla. RNAcentral describes it as "eukaryotic LSU rRNA". It matches the Rfam family "Eukaryotic large subunit ribosomal RNA", at positions 76 to 858 of the family's 3401-position model. Lineage: Eukaryota; Fungi; Ascomycota; Lecanoromycetes; Umbilicariales; Umbilicariaceae. The record is from RNAcentral.